CCUGGUGGUUAUAGCGGGCGGGUCCCACCUGAUUCCAUUUCGAACUCAGAAGUGAAAACGCUCAGCGCUGAUGAUAGUGUGAUUAUUUUCAUGCGAAAGUAAGUCGCCGCCAGGU
This 115-nucleotide ribosomal RNA is filed under the name Coxiella endosymbiont of Amblyomma sculptum. Lineage: Bacteria; Pseudomonadati; Pseudomonadota; Gammaproteobacteria; Legionellales; Coxiellaceae. The record is from RNAcentral.